RNAcentral lists this unclassified non-coding RNA (3673 nucleotides) under Hevea brasiliensis (rubber tree). Lineage: Eukaryota; Viridiplantae; Streptophyta; Magnoliopsida; Malpighiales; Euphorbiaceae. The record is from RNAcentral.
CCAAAUCCAUUGAGUUGCAUAAUAACCCAGAGUCCAUAAGCAUGCAUUUAUGAAUACGGAUUUGAAAAAGAGGUAAUAUCAGUCUAGAACAAACCUAGAAUAGUCUUAUCAUCACGAUUCUAAAAUUCAAUGCAAGUACUUCUACAUCCUUUUCAGCCUCCUUGAAGAUACAGUAAAUAGGUAAAAUAUUAUAUAGGGAAAACUCACAAUGAAGUACAUGGCAAAUAUAAUUUCUAAUUGGCAUUAAGAGUGCUAAGCCACUAAUCAUCUAUCCUGCAACCAAACAGGGGCAGUAGCAGCCAACUACAAGCUUACAAUCAACUAAUGUCUUUCAGCGGCAUUCUCUUCCUUCCCAAGUGCAACCACAGCUUUCUUCAGAAUGGCUUCAGUUUGCUGGUGAGCAUUCUCCACAGCCUUUGAAAUUGCCUGCCAUUUCUCACCAUGCCUUGGUUCUGCAGCAAUGCACCUCUUUAAAACAUCCUUCUGAUUUUCCUCAGUCCCAUGUUGAAGUUCAAAUUUGUAAUAUAAAGCCCAGAAAUCCCCAACAUCUGGAGCAAGAGUAACUGCCCUGUUCAGCCACGUUCUAGCUUUAUCAACCUUCCUAUCAUGCCAGAACAGCUUGGCCACAGCAGAAAUAACAUGAGGGUCGUGAUCACAUUUCUUGAGGGCAUCCAUACUCUUGCUUUUGCGUUGUGGACGGGGAACCAUCUCAAUGGAUGCUGCCCACAAUAUGCCACUGUUAGGACACUCCUGCAAAGCCUUUGCCAUCAGGAUAUCAGCUUCCUUCUUAUUCCCAUGCCUUGAUUCAGCACGGACAGCAGCAAGCCAGAGCUCAGGGUUUUGAGGAUUCUUCUUCCUUGCCAUGGUAAGUACAGCACGUGCUUUACUCAGCCCAUUCAUUUUCUCUUCAAGAUUAGCAAGAGAAAGCCAAAGGGGUAUACAACUCGGACAGUGCUUCAAACCUGACUCAUAAACUUCCUUUGCCUUUUCCAGGUGACCAAGCCGUUCCUCAAGCUGCCCAAGCAUCAACCAGAGUUUGAAGAAUGAAGGGAAGCGUUUCAAACCUUCAUCCACUAACCUCCUCUCCUCCUCAGUAUUGCCCAACUCUCUCUCAACAAUGGCAGACUUCAUCCACACUCUUUCUGUACCACCUCUUUCUCUAGCCUUAGCAAGCAGCAUUCUUGCUCUUUCAGGUUCAUGAUUCUCAAAUUCAAGCUUAAACGCUGCAAGCCAAAUUUCCUCAGAGUUUGGUAUAGCAGCAUAAGCUUCUUGAAGAAUAGCCCUUGCAGCAGGCACAUCGCCGGCAAGCCACUUCUCUUUAGCACCCAUAAGCCACAGAACUUCAGCUUGUGGCCUAUAAGUAACCGCCUUGCGCAACAAAGCGUCAAGCGACUCCCUAGUCCCAUGACUCUUCUCAAGCUGUGCAGCUUUAAGCCAAAUACUCUUCUUAGUCAAAAACACAGUUAGUGCAUGAGCAUAAAUAGCUCUAGCAGUCUCAAUAGAUCCCCUCUUCUUACAUUCCUCUGCAUCUGCCACCCAUGUUCUCUUCCUAUCCUCUUCCUCCACUCCAAUUCCAAUUGUGUUCUUAAUAAUUGCUUGACAAGUCACCACAGAGCCUGCCCUUUCCGCUGCCUCAGCCUCCUUCAUCCAUGCCUCCCUAUCAAUCACUAACCCUUCUCUCUGUAAAGCUCUGAUACCUCUCUCUAUAAUCUUUCCCACCAUUGAUGUAUUACCGUUUGCCUCCUCCAACUUGGCAGCAGUUAUCCAUAUAGCAGGCUCCUUGGCCAACUUUUCCCUGGCCCUGUUCAACACCUUCUUCGCAUUAUCAUAUGUCUCCAAUCUUGCCAACGCCAACCACAAUUCGACGUGCAAAGGACAACAUUCCACUGCUCUGUGAAGUAAUGUUCUAGCAUUCUCCUCAUUAGACAACUCCACAACAGAUUUCCACAACCUAACUGAAUCGGGAAUAUGCUCUAAACCCUUCCUCAAAACCCUACUUUUAUUCACAUCAUCGUGUUCCAGUUUUGCAGCCUGCAACCACAACUUAACAGAAUUUGGUAUACUCUUCACUCCCUUAGCUAUAACUGCUUUGGCUUCAUCAGGGCUAGCCAGCCUACAUGCCUCUAACCAAACAUCCUCAUUUUUAGGACAUUCCUCGCAGCCCCUUUGUAUCAACUGCCUUGCUGCCUGAAUCUUCCCGGCCACCUCUUCCAACCUUGCAGCAGCAAUCCAACCAGGCGGGUGUUUUGGGUUAGUCUGAGUAACACUCUUCAACAACAACCUCGCCUUCUUAAUAUCCGAAAUCUCUGCAUCACUUGUAAUCUUCAUACUCUUCAAAUCCGUCAAAUAGCCUUUAGGAUCCACCACAGUGAGCCCUGAAACAGAAUCGGAUAACCUAUCUAACUUCAAUGACAACACAGUGCCUCUCCCUUCACCAACAGCAGUCAGGUCAGUGACUGGAGUCUGCGACCAUGGCGUUUCAGUCCCACCAGCAGCUCUGCUCUUGGGGUCCAAAGCAGUAACAUGCUCCUGCUCUUGCCUCGCCUUCUCGAGAAGGGUAUCGGGUACUGGUACGAAGCUCUCAAAUCUCCUCUUCUUGUUUCUCAACGAGUAAUCACCAAUGUCUGGUAUGCUCUCCCAUUCUUGGGCGGAUAACGUGUACAAUUUCCUCUUCAAAUCCGCGAAUUGCUCAGUGAUCUUCGGAUUUGAAGCUCGGUACUUCUCGAUCUCCUGCUUCAAUCUCGCCUCCCUCCUGUCCUUUCGCCGCGAAUCCAUCCUCUUAUCAAUUGCCUCCCAUACCGCAUCUGCUUCCUUGUCGUCCUCGUCAUAUUCCGCCGAAGCAAACAGCCCGACGUCGUUCCCUUCAAACUCAUCGAAUUUCUGGUUCUCGUCGUAACCCUUAUCAUCCCCCUCAUCAUCCUCUUCUUCUUCGCCGCCUUUUCCUCGGCCACGGCCGAUCCCAGACGCGGCACUGGAUGCUCCUCCAAUGGUGGUAGCAGAUCGGUCAGGAAGAUCAGGAGCAGCACGAGCUGGACCAAUAUCAGACCGGGUGGUGAAGCCCGUGGCACCACGCCCAAGACCAGCGACAUAGUUGGGGGGAGGCUUAGAAUUUAGGAAAUCAAGGCGGGGCUUAGGCGGAGCAGGAGGUUGGGUGCCACCAAGGAAAGGUAUAUACAGGGUCAGGGUGGAAUAGGGGGUGAUACCCAGCUGGGAGAGGAGAAUUUCAUCGGAAUUUUGAAGGCCGUUUGGAUUAUAAACGGGACUAAAUGAAGGCAAUAAAAAUAGUUGGCGAGAGAUGGGAAUUUGGGAUUGGGAGUGGAUGUGGUUUUUGAGGGCGGAAAGGGUGGUGAUGUUGGGGUUGACGUGGAGAAAGAGGGUCUUGUUGUUUGGAGAUUUAACGAAAACCAUUUUUUCCGAUGAAAAGAGAUAUGGGUUUUUGGAUUCAAUACCCAGAAAAGGGUGUUAGGGUUCAGGUGACUGCCCUAAAAGAAAGGAAGAGUGAAAGAGAGCGGCGCUAUGGCGGUGGUUUGAUAUCGGUAGCAGACAAAAAAUAAAAUACCGGUUUGGACCGGCACGGGUCAAGUCGGCUGAUGGAUUUUAACUUUGAUCCACACACCAUUAUUGUUUAACUCGUAAAUUUUUUACAAACAGUUAAAUUAAUGAAAACGAGGAA